GUUCAACCGACGAGUCACAAAUAUGACAAAACGUGCUUCCUGAAU
This 45-nucleotide non-coding RNA is filed under the name Schistosoma margrebowiei. Lineage: Eukaryota; Metazoa; Platyhelminthes; Trematoda; Strigeidida; Schistosomatidae. The record is from RNAcentral.